RNAcentral lists this transfer RNA (68 nucleotides) under Marmota monax (woodchuck). Its description in RNAcentral is "tRNA.Ala". Lineage: Eukaryota; Metazoa; Chordata; Mammalia; Rodentia; Sciuridae. The record is from RNAcentral.
GGAUUGUGGCUCAGUGGUAGAGUGCUUGCCUAGCACGUGUGAGGCACUGGGUUCCAUUCUCAGCACCA